UACGUAGGGGGCAAGCGUUGUCCGGAUUUAUUGGGCGUAAAGCGCUCGCAGGUGGUUCGUUGCGUCGUGCGUGAAAGACCCCGGCUCAACUGGGGGAGGUCGUGCGAUACGGGCGAACUGGAGGCCAGUAGGGGGAUGCGGAAUUCCGGGUGUAGUGGUGGAAUGCGUAGAGAUCCGGAGGAACACCAGCGGCGAAGGCGGCAUCCUGGACUGGUCCUGACACUCAGGAGCGAAAGCGUGGGGAGCGAUCCGG
RNAcentral lists this ribosomal RNA (253 nucleotides) under uncultured bacterium. RNAcentral's name for it is "partial 16S ribosomal RNA". It matches the Rfam family "Bacterial small subunit ribosomal RNA", at positions 524 to 776 of the family's 1533-position model. The record is from RNAcentral.